Molecule: long non-coding RNA, 396 nt
Organism: Oncorhynchus nerka (sockeye salmon)
Lineage: Eukaryota; Metazoa; Chordata; Actinopteri; Salmoniformes; Salmonidae
Exons: 2
Source: RefSeq, a predicted model, not a curated record
UUCGAAAACAACCUCAAAUGUAUGUCAACUAUAAUAUGCAUCACCCCCUCUACGGCCGAGACACCCACUGAAGCAUCCUUGUUUUAAACAUGGUUCUAAAAUCCUGCCCACAACAGUCAAGCAAGGAACAGAUGCCCUUCCCUUCCCCAUUCGCACUUCUACUGAUGGGGAUAACGCUGGGGCCUCAUCUAGCUCUCGCCCUUUAUUUUCCAGAAUCCUUCUCCGCCCAAAACGCGGACAUAUUUUUUCCUCUUGUAGAUUUGCAUCUUCCUUGGCCCCGGCCAUCUAUUCACUGCCAAAUAAACUCCACUGGCCUGGCUGUGUCCCUAUCUUUAGCCCUAGGCAUUUUUUCUUUGCGUCCCAGAUUGUUUGUUUGAUUGAUAGGGAACAGAAAAA